GUCGUAAACUGAUAUGGAAAUGCUUCGUGAAAAUGCACCACCUGCUCCCCAAACUGGAGGAGUUGCUGAAAGCAGUGGGGGAAGAAGGUUCUGAUCUGAUCGAAUCGUUCAAAGCCAUGAAGGCUUCCUCGGAACUACCUGCUCAUCUGAAAGGACCUCUUGUUUAUCUCACCUGAUAAAAGAUGUUCAGCAGAAGCACAAGGAGACUCUGCGG
Long non-coding RNA from Amblyraja radiata (thorny skate), 214 nucleotides. RefSeq lists it as uncharacterized. Lineage: Eukaryota; Metazoa; Chordata; Chondrichthyes; Rajiformes; Rajidae. The record is from RefSeq and is a predicted model, not a curated record. The transcript is spliced from 3 exons.